This 81-nucleotide transfer RNA is filed under the name Colletotrichum zoysiae. RNAcentral describes it as "tRNA-Gly". It matches the Rfam family "tRNA". Rfam says of the family: Transfer RNA (tRNA) molecules are approximately 80 nucleotides in length. Their secondary structure includes four short double-helical elements and three loops (D, anti-codon, and T loops). The record is from RNAcentral. RNAcentral also lists the same sequence under 1 other name. Lineage: Eukaryota; Fungi; Ascomycota; Sordariomycetes; Glomerellales; Glomerellaceae.
GCGCCGAUGGUUUAGUGGUAAAAUUCUCCGUUGCCAUCCUGCAGCGUCGGGGAGCCGGGGGUUCGAUUCCCCCUCGGCGCA